AAGAUUUAUUGCUCCAGUGUUUGAGGAUUUAACAACGUAGCAGACUUGUCACGAUGCACUUAAUCCACCCGUAAAGUGGGAGUAUUGCUGGAAGUUCGAUAAUCGAACAAGCGACGGCACAUUUGGCACUAAAGGAAGUGAAAACAGUAGAAGCAAGAAGGGUUCAGUCCCUAUUUGUAAAAUGAUCGAGUGAAGAAAAACGGCGAUAACUGAGCGUGCCAUGUGACAACAUUCUUACACUGCUCAAACCAGUUCCUUGUGUGCCAUGUGUCAUAACUUCGAAACCUCAGCUAAGGACCGUCGUAAACCGAGGACCCCCGAUAAUAGCCUCUAAAGUUGGCUAUUUUGUUCAGAGACCGUUGGAUGGGAAAACCUUAUAAGACCGGUUAAGAAGGGUUAAUGUGAUCUCAACCCCGCUGUUACGCUCCUCUUCUACUCGCUACCUCUCUACUGGCCACAGAUCCAGUUUCCUGCCAAGCCCCAGGGCUUAGUUCCUGUUUGUCCUGGUGCAGGGGGGGUAACAUGUCCAGAGAGACCAACUGCUUGGUUGUGGCCAGCUGUGAGUACUUGGCAUAGCCUGGCACACACAGCCGGGUCACACCUCAGGAGACCGAGCGCCAGCGCAGACACACAUGAUCACAACCAGCGUCGCCAUCUGCCCUCUACGACUUCAGCCACAAGUCAGACCUGCAUGUAACCUACGUGGACACCCUCUCCUGCAUGCUUCUGUCUGGAAGGAGGUUUCCCCCCCCCCCCCCCCCCCAAAAUUGGAUACCAGUUCACCAGGAAGUGCAGACAGAAGCCCAGGGCUCGGAUAACCCUGCUGCACCGGGACUCACUUGCCUUGCGAAGAGGAUUAUUCGGCCUAUUUUCCACUGCAUGGUAUCUAUUUUGCUCGGAACAGCUUGAAUAAAAAUUGAAGCUUUUCCAUUGGCAAAACCAGAUACUUAAUAAUCCAGUGCUGGUCACUUAUUGCUCGAGCAGAUUUGUCAUUGCCGCAACUUUGGAGGAUACCCACAUGCCAACAUAAUCCAGUACUAUAAUCCACAGAUAUUGCUGAAACGCUCCGUUGUCUU
Long non-coding RNA from Phycodurus eques (leafy seadragon), 1076 nucleotides. RefSeq lists it as uncharacterized. Lineage: Eukaryota; Metazoa; Chordata; Actinopteri; Syngnathiformes; Syngnathidae. The record is from RefSeq and is a predicted model, not a curated record. The transcript is spliced from 4 exons.